UCGAAAGGACGGGAUCUACUCCACGCAACCAUAGAUGCCGUCUGACAAAAAGGAGGAUAAGCUUCCGUCGGCUCACGGUGCGGCAGUGUGGAGAUCUGCCGCAAGGCAGAAACCAGAUGGAUUCCGCGAGGAUCCUUCCAGCCGGAGGAUCCGGAGCUUCAAAAAAUGGCA
Molecule: non-coding RNA, 171 nt
Filed under: unclassified sequences
Description: malK-I RNA
Rfam family: malK-I RNA
Source: RNAcentral